UCGAGGCGCUGCUCGCGCACCAACUCUUCAGUCUUUUUGCUUCCCAUUUUGUACCGUACAGUACGUCCACCGAAGUACUGACGUUUCGCUGUGCCAUCGCAUGGCCGACGUGUGCAUUCCGAGGUUCACUUUCGCGUGGUACCCGCUCUGUCACAAGUAUCGCUUUUAAAACGUUAACACUUGUGGCAAAACAUCAACAUACCGAUCUCAGAAGAAAAAUUACUAGAUCCGGCUUUCACGUCGACGUGGACCACCUUUCCAGGCUUCGUCCCGUUGGUAAUAAACGAUUAAUUUAGUUCGAACCUGUAAGCCGCGACCACGCGACACAACGCUCAGCGAUGUCCAACGAAGAAACUUCCGCCGACCGCAAUGUCGAAAUCUGGAAAAUCAAGAAACUUAUAAAAAGUCUCGAAAUGGCCAGGGGGAAUGGGACUAGUAUGAUUUCGUUAAUUAUCCCUCCAAAAGAUCAGAUAUCGAGAGUAAGCAAAAUGUUAGCAGAUGAGUUUGGGACAGCAUCAAAUAUUAAAUCUCGUGUAAAUAGACUAUCUGUUUUGGGUGCUAUCACAUCCGUACAACAUAGGCUAAAAUUAUAUACGAAAGUGCCUCCAAAUGGCCUGGUAAUAUAUUGUGGUACCAUUGUAACAGAAGAAGGAAAAGAAAAGAAAGUUAACAUUGAUUUUGAACCCUUUAAACCUAUUAAUACUUCACUUUAUCUUUGUGAUAACAAGUUUCACACUGAAGCACUUACAGCAUUGCUUGCUGAUGAUAAUAAAUUUGGUUUUAUCGUCAUGGAUGGUAAUGGAGCAUUGUUUGGCACGCUGCAAGGAAAUACCCGUGAGGUUUUACAUAAAUUUACAGUAGAUCUUCCAAAAAAGCAUGGCAGAGGUGGACAGUCUGCGCUUCGUUUUGCUCGGUUGCGUAUGGAAAAGCGGCAUAAUUACGUUCGAAAAGUUGCAGAAGUAGCUACCCAAUUAUAUAUUACUAAUGAUAAACCUAAUAUUGCUGGUUUAAUUUUAGCAGGUAGUGCAGACUUUAAAACAGAACUUAGUCAAUCGGACAUGUUUGAUCCAAGAUUGCAGGCAAAGGUUAUAAAGUUAGUAGAUGUUUCAUAUGGUGGAGAGAAUGGUUUUAAUCAAGCUAUUGAGUUGGCUGCUGAAUCUUUGCAAAAUGUAAAGUUUAUUCAGGAAAAAAAAUUAAUUGGCCGUUAUUUCGACGAAAUCUCACAAGAUACAGGGAAAUAUUGUUUCGGCGUAGAAGAUACAUUAAGAGCAUUAGAGUUAGGCAGUGUAGAGACUCUCAUUUGUUGGGAGAAUUUAGAUAUUCAGCGGUACGUUUUAAAGAACCAUACAAAUGCAGAAGAGAAGGUUUUACACCUAACACCGGAACAGGAAAAAGAUAAAACUCAUUUUACUGACAAAGAGAGCGGAGUAGAAUUGGAACUUGUAGAAUGUCAGCCUUUACUUGAGUGGUUAGCAAACAACUACAAGAGUUUCGGUGCCACUUUGGAAAUUAUUACAGAUAAAUCUCAAGAAGGCUCUCAAUUUGUAAGAGGUUUUGGCGGCAUUGGAGGAAUCCUCCGCUACAAAGUUGAUUUCCAGUCACUGCAGGCUGAUGAGCCUCUUGAUGAUGUUGACCUCGAUGAUUACUAAUUUCAUCUGUGAAAUACUCAAAGUUGACCAGCUUGCAUAUUGGGAAAGGUAUAGUAUAUUGCGGUACAAAGUGGACUUUCAGAGUAUGCAACUUGAAGAUGUUGAGGUUGAUACCUUUGAUCUGGAUGACUAUUAAAUCCGUGACUCGACAGACAGUUCUUUUAGCUUCAUAGGAAAACAUAAGUAUAUGUUCUCCCUUGCAUCGUAUUUUAAGAGAGGCACAUAAGAGGACAUGUUUAUAAAAUUUAUUAUAUGAUGCAACACACAUCAUAAAAUUAUUCAUUAGAAUUCAUUCGAGCAAUUCACAAUCAAUACACAAAGGUGAAAAGCACAACACGUGGCGCGCCGAUAAUCCAUGUCCAUGAAGAAACAAAGGCAACUCGAAGACUGUGACACUUAAUUAAGCCAGCUUGAUACCUGCCUAUCUCACAGAACAUUACCUUAUAUUACAGUUACAUUCUUUAAUUAUUCACAUGGAUUUAUUUAAAUAAUUACACGCGUUACAGUGCUGAAUAUGUUUGUACAGUACACGGUUGGAGAUAUGAUAAUUUUGUACCAAAUUAAUGUUUUGCCAUCUUGUCAUGAAUUUUACGAUUGAAAAAUGGAAAGGAGGAAAGAUAUUCAGAUAACAUGAGGACGAAUGUAGAGUUAUUUUUGUUCAGAUACAACCAUGGAUAAGCUGUAAUAAACUGAUUAUCAUAAACAUAAAGUUGCGUAUCGUGUAUUCUAUACCGAUUACUAAAUUCAUAUGAAUAAUGAAGAGUUCUGUACAUAGACUUAAAUUUUUAAUGGCACUGUUGCCUUAGACAUAAGUUAAGAUCGCGUAAUAUCCCAGGAAAAUAAAAUCUUUCCGUCUCAUCGAGUGAUACACAUAUAAACAUAUAAGAGAUAAUUUUUCGUAUCUACAUUAACUUUGCUGGCUCUUGACUCUUAUAUUUUGUACACUCACAAUUGUAUAUAACAAAUGCUCCGCAAGUGUAUCGAGAUAUAUCUUUUCGAUUGUUACAACGGUGCACUCCGUUAGUAAAGAAAUAUCUUCUGCAAUAUUUAAGUAGCAAUUAUUGAGAAUCUUACAAAAUUUAUUUUAACAUUGUUAAUUUAAAUUGCUUAUCCAUAUGAUGCCUUUGUAAUAAACAAUAAUAUGUAUGUAUAAAUGUGAGAAGAAUGAAACGUGCAAUUUUGGUGAAGUAUCUUUUAUGAAAAGUCUCUGUAUAAUAAAGGAAGAUUUGCAAAUACCGUGAAUCUUAUGGUGAAAAUAAUGUAUUGUUAAUUAAUAGUAUAACUAGAUUAUUUAUACUAUUAUGCCAUAUGUGAUGCAAGGAUAAAGCUUUAUGAAAACUUCAUCAAAAUAGAACGUUCAACAAAAAAUGACCUGGCUUAUGGUAUGUGCACAACGAAUUCCAAAACAUGAUGGUUUAAAAGUAUUGUAUCUGUGUAUUGUCUUCAAGGCAGCGAAAUGUUGAAUGUCAGCUUAAUGUUUCUUUAAAUUUUUAUAUGUAAACAUUCUUUCGAUAGGAAUCUAGAUAAUUAUUUAUUACUACAUCGGUGCGAUUAUUUCUUCUGCUUAACAGAAGAUUAUUUUAAGUAUACAAGUUCUAGUUCUAAGAACUCGGUAAACGUCUGAAAGAGAUUAGGAAAAAGCCGUGUAAUCUUGAAUAAUUUUCGGUUUUUUUUUGUUUUUAAUUUUUUUAUAAGGUAAGGGAAUGUGAAUUUGCAGAAGAACGCAUGAAAGAAAGGAAUUAAUAGACGUCGUUCGUACAUCUCAUUUAAACAAAUCAAUGACGUACUUAGAUUAUGGCUUGCCUAUGAUCUCUUCCAUAAGCAUAGUUGUAUAAUCUGCUAACAGAUUUAUAAUUUUUGGCAAUCUUAUUCUCCUGUAUUGCUCUAACAAAAUAUUUUUGUUCUUUCAAAUGUUAUUUUUUAUCUAACAAGGCAAUACAAAGAUGUAAUCGUUAUAAGUUUUUGCUUAAUGAAAUUUUUCAAAAUGUGGAUUUAAUACCUCAUAUUUUACAUGUAUUGUACGCGUAAAGUACAUUCAUGCUAUACCCUACAAAUUUUAAUUCGUUUUUACUGAAAUGAAUACGAGGAUACGGUGAAAAUAUGAAUUUCGAGUUUACGUGAUAAAAUGUUGGCCGUACCAUGAUACAUGUUCUAUGAAAGAUGUUUUGUGAAGUGAUAAAGAGGGAUAUUGAAAUAAUGGCUCAUAAUAAUGAAAUGAUAGUUUAUGAUACUUAAAUGUAGUCUAUGUGACAAAACAUUCUGAUUAUGAUGAUAAAAGUUACCUCGAUAAAAAUUCAUAGUGUUAACUUAUAAUUAUCUUUAACUCUAUCAAGUAGUUAGCUCAUAUAUCUAUGUUUUGUAUGUUUUGGUAUAUGUGGUAGUUAUUAACAAUUAAAAUUGUAUUAUUAUUUUACUGUUAAUAAUACGGAAUCGAGAAGAAUAUAAAUUUUGUAAAACUAACAAUGAAAUAUUUUAAUCGCUUUCGCUUCUCUUCGAAAAUAUUUUCAAUUUAUUUGUUAAUUAAACAUUAUUUCCAAUCUCCCUUUUUUCACAUACGCAUUACACAAAAUUUAUACGCAAAGAAAAUUAACGUAUCGUUAAUAUCAAAAUUUAAUAAGAAUCUGAAUAGAAUAGAAUAUGAAAAAGUGAAUAAGAAGUGAAAAAUACAGUCUAUGUUUCUCAUGCAAACAAGUUGCUAUUAGAACCCGAAAAUGUCACAAUAAUAUUUGUUUUCACAGGGCACAUCCAAGAUAACUAUUUAAAAAUAUUUUAGAAUUGUAAAAAGUAUGAUAAAUAAUAGCGGAGAUAGAAUGGAAAAAUAGAUUUUAACGUUUUUGCUCUGUGAUGGAUCCGAUCACAAUGAGAGAUAUUUCCGGGUUCCAAUUAUAACGUCUUCUUACAUUUUUGUUAAUGCUCUCCCUUUUAUAUACGUGAAUUUUACUUACAUGAAGUAACAGAAAAAAUUCUUUAUAUUAUUGGUAAGACAUACAUAUUCGCCUAUGGAACGAGGUGCUAUUGAAUAGAAAUUUGAAUAGAAAGAUGAAAAGAAAUUGAAAGAAUAUAAUAAAAGAGAAAGUACUCUAUGAAA
Bombus huntii is the source of this 4737-nucleotide RNA transcript. It is a transcript of the gene named eukaryotic peptide chain release factor subunit 1, with no coding region annotated. The transcript has 12 exons. NCBI's taxonomy places the organism in Eukaryota, Metazoa, Arthropoda, Insecta, Hymenoptera, Apidae. The record is from RefSeq and is a predicted model, not a curated record.